GGAUGUGAAGGCGAUCUGGCUGUGACAUCUGUCACCUCACUGAUCGCCAGGGUUGAUGUGGCUGAUCUGGUAGCUAGGUGGGUGUGCCCUUCCUCCCUCACUGCUCCAUGUGUGCCCUCCUGAAGCUGCGGGCUCAGUCGAAGAGGAUGACCUUCCUGGAUAGAAGACUGUUCUUCAGUCAAGGGUAUAUGAGUAGCUGCGCUCCCCUGCUAGAACCUCCAAAUAAGUGCUCAAGAAACCCCUGCACCAGGGGUUUUGAGCAGAGGAGUGAUAUGAUUGGACUUCUGUUU
This 290-nucleotide small nuclear RNA is filed under the name Prolemur simus (greater bamboo lemur). Its description in RNAcentral is "7SK RNA (ENSPSMG00000014700.1)". It matches the Rfam family "7SK RNA". Rfam says of the family: 7SK was discovered as an abundant small nuclear RNA in the mid-70s but a possible function has only recently been suggested. Two independent studies have found that 7SK RNA binds the CDK9/cyclin T complex (known as elongation factor P-TEFb). P-TEFb activates transcription by phosphorylating the C-terminal domain of RNA polymerase II. The record is from Rfam by way of RNAcentral. Lineage: Eukaryota; Metazoa; Chordata; Mammalia; Primates; Lemuridae.